GUAAUGUGAAUUGCAGAAUUCAGUGUAAUCAUCGAAUCUUUGAACGCACAUUGCGCCCGCCAGCAUU
This 67-nucleotide ribosomal RNA is filed under the name Colletotrichum sp. AR3750. RNAcentral describes it as "partial 5.8S ribosomal RNA". It matches the Rfam family "5.8S ribosomal RNA", at positions 62 to 127 of the family's 154-position model. From Rfam's summary of the family: 5.8S ribosomal RNA (5.8S rRNA) is a component of the large subunit of the eukaryotic ribosome. The record is from RNAcentral. Lineage: Eukaryota; Fungi; Ascomycota; Sordariomycetes; Glomerellales; Glomerellaceae.